This 497-nucleotide ribosomal RNA is filed under the name uncultured bacterium. RNAcentral describes it as "partial 16S ribosomal RNA". It matches the Rfam family "Bacterial small subunit ribosomal RNA", at positions 28 to 507 of the family's 1533-position model. The record is from RNAcentral.
GAUGAACGCUGGCGGCGUGCCUAAUACAUGCAAGUCGAGCGAACAGACGAGGAGCUUGCUUCUCUGACGUUAGCGGCGGACGGGUGAGUAACACGUGGAUAACCUCCCUAUAAGUCUGGGAUAACUUCGGGAAACCGGAGCUAAUACCGGAUAAUAUAUUAAACCGCAUGGUUCAAUAGUGAAAGACGGUUUUGCUGUCACUUAUAGAUGGAUCCGCGCCGCAUUAGCUAGUUGGUAAGGUAACGGCUUACCAAGGCAACGAUGCGUAGCCGACCUGAGAGGGUGAUCGGCCACACUGGAACUGAGACACGGUCCAGACUCCUACGGGAGGCAGCAGUAGGGAAUCUUCCGCAAUGGGCGAAAGCCUGACGGAGCAACGCCGCGUGAGUGAUGAAGGUCUUCGGAUCGUAAAACUCUGUUAUUAGGGAAGAACAAAUGUGUAAGUAACUAUGCACGUCUUGACGGUACCUAAUCAGAAAGCCACGGCUAACUACGUG